This 73-nucleotide transfer RNA is filed under the name Candidatus Shapirobacteria bacterium RBG_13_44_7. RNAcentral's name for it is "tRNA-Glu". It matches the Rfam family "tRNA". Rfam says of the family: Transfer RNA (tRNA) molecules are approximately 80 nucleotides in length. Their secondary structure includes four short double-helical elements and three loops (D, anti-codon, and T loops). Lineage: Bacteria; Candidatus Shapironibacteriota. The record is from RNAcentral.
GGCCCCAUCGUCUAGUGGCCUAGGACGGUAGGUUCUCAUCCUACUAACAGCGGUUCAAAUCCGCUUGGGGUCA